GACGAACGCUGGCGGCGUGCUUAACACAUGCAAGUCGAACGGAAAGGCCCUGCUUUUGUGGGGUGCUCGAGUGGCGAACGGGUGAGUAACACGUGAGUAACCUGCCCUUGACUUUGGGAUAACUUCAGGAAACUGGGGCUAAUACCGGAUAGGAGCUCCUGCUGCAUGGUGGGGGUUGGAAAGUUUCGGCGGUUGGGGAUGGACUCGCGGCUUAUCAGCUUGUUGGUGGGGUAGUGGCUUACCAAGGCUUUGACGGGUAGCCGGCCUGGGAGGGUGACCGGCCACAAUGGGACUGAGAUACGGCCCAGACUCCUACGGGCGGCAGCGGUGGGGAAUAUUACACAAUGGGCGGAAGCCUGAUGCAGCAACGCCGCGUGCGGGAUGACGGCCUUCGGGUUGUAAACCGCUUUCGCCUGUGACGAAGAGUGAGUGACGGUAAUGGGUAAAGAAGCACCGGCUAACUACGUG
RNAcentral lists this ribosomal RNA (468 nucleotides) under uncultured bacterium. RNAcentral's name for it is "partial 16S ribosomal RNA". It matches the Rfam family "Bacterial small subunit ribosomal RNA", at positions 28 to 507 of the family's 1533-position model. The record is from RNAcentral.